This is a non-coding RNA of Nylanderia fulva, 897 nucleotides long. The record is from RefSeq and is a predicted model, not a curated record. Lineage: Eukaryota; Metazoa; Arthropoda; Insecta; Hymenoptera; Formicidae.
CAAGUAUACUUACUUGAAACAUGAUGGAAAAACAUUUGGCCAUCAAUAGAAUGCACGUCACCAUCAGCGCGCACGAGGAGGAAAUGUUCGUUUAAGGACCAUGGCAGCGCGGUAGCAGCUACCGCAACCAACCAGGUUGCAUCGAUGACGUCACAACCAGAAACGAAAACGGUCGUGUUUGUUUCUGGUCGCUCGUGGUAGGGAAACGAAAACGCACCUCAUGUGAUCGCACCAUGAAAGCUGGAAUCCUGCUGCGUCAUACCGUUAAGUGAAAAUCCAGCCUGAUCUCUCUGUUCGAUUUUGCAUUAUUGUGGUGUUCUAUUACAAAACAGAGUUCUACACUACAAAUCUGGACUCAUAAAUUUUUAGAAUAAUUAUUUUAUGAAAAAUGUGAUAUAUAAAAAUACCUAACAUCAUCUAAUAUCAAAAGAGAAGAAAUAUCAAAUAGUCACACUAUAUAUGUACACUAUAUAUGCAAUCCGAAGGAAUUGUCACUUAUCAAACUAACUGGCAUUUAAUUAAACAAGUUUGUGGGACUUGAUGCACUAAUAAGAUGCGAUGAUGUGAAGGUAAAGUGCGCACACACUUUUAUUCUGGAAAAAGUGCAUCGUAAUAUUUGUACGAUACAAAAUGUGUGCUUAAAUGUUUGUAUGGUUUGCUGUAACCAUAGUUGUAAUUUAUUUUAAUCAAAUCGAGCUAUUGUAUCAACAUGUAAUGACAUUUCUAUAAGGUUUAUACAGUAUUAUAGUGGGCUGAUAUAUACAUAAGAAAAAAAUGAGCAUAUUUUACAUAAUAAUGUAUUACAUUUACAUUUGCAUACUGGCUAGAAAAAUUGACUUUAGGAAGAUAAUACAAACAGGUAAGCAAACAAUUGUCAAAUUAAUUCAAAUUUGACAU